This is a ribosomal RNA of Dasypus novemcinctus (nine-banded armadillo), 118 nucleotides long. The record is from Ensembl. Lineage: Eukaryota; Metazoa; Chordata; Mammalia; Cingulata; Dasypodidae.
GUCUAUGGCCAUACCACCCUGAACGCGCCCUAUCUCAUCUGAUCUCGGAAGCUAAGCAGGGUCGGGCCUGGUUAGUAUUUGGAUGGGAAAUAAGAAGCAUAUAAAGGAUAAUUGGACC